GACGAACGCUGGCGGCGUGCCUAAUACAUGCAAGUAGGACGCACAGUCUAUACCGUAGCUUGCUACACCAUAGGCUGUGAGUUGCGAACGGGUGAGUAACGCGUAGGUAACCUGCCUAUUAGAGGGGGAUAACUAUUGGAAACGAUAGCUAAUACCGCAUAACAGUAUGUAACACAUGUUAGAUGCUUGAAAGAUGCAAUUGCAUCGCUAGUAGAUGGACCUGCGUUGUAUUAGCUAGUAGGUAGGGUAAUGGCCUACCUAGGCGACGAUACAUAGCCGACCGGAGAGGGUGAUCGGCCACCCUGGGACUGAGACACGGCCCAGACUCCUACGGUAGGCAGCAGUAGGGAAUCUUCGGCAAUGGGGGGAACCCUGACCGAGCAACGCCGCGUGAGUGAAGAAGGUUUUCGGAUCGUAAAGCUCUGUUGUUAAGGAAGAACGAGUGUGAGAAUGGAAAGUUCAUACUGUGACGGUACUUAACCAGAAAGGGACGGCUAACUACGUG
Molecule: ribosomal RNA, 505 nt
Filed under: uncultured bacterium
Lineage: Bacteria
Description: partial 16S ribosomal RNA
Rfam family: Bacterial small subunit ribosomal RNA
Source: RNAcentral